AUGGUAGCGGGGGGGAUAAGACAGGGGAGUGCCUGGCUUUUUUCCUUACUGCCCUCUUUGGGGUCAGUGGCUCACCCAGCUUUGUGGAGCCUCAUUUGGGUGCCUGUCUGCAGGUGCAGGUCUGCCUUGAACCUGCCCGUCCCGUCCCUGCUCAUCGCCGGCCUGCAGGGAGGGCGAAGCGCCCGGACCGCAACUGGAGGGGACUGGGGACGAGCGAGGCAAGCGGAACUACCAGGCAGCGCUCCGCAGGAGGCUGCACUCCAGGCCCUUCGCUGGUGAGGAGCAGUCAACGCUUCGAGCUGUUGAGAAGGAAAUGGAACUGCUGAAGAUACCAACGAGAUUGCCAAGUGGAUCAAAAACUGUUUUUAAUAUGUGGUGUAGAUCACCUGAACAAAUUGUUUGGCCUAAUACUUAAUGCUAAAGAGAUUUGUUUCAUAUAAAAGAAUGACAUUAAAUGUGUUUUUCUAAGGCUUGUGUGUGUGUAAUUCUGGAAUUUAAGAAUUGCUGAGUGUGUCAGUAUUGUGAGUGUUCUAAAACAAACUCCAAACCCCACACCCAGAACAGCAACAACAAACCCAGCCAAACAAAAUGUGUGUGCACACAAACAAAGACAUCAAGUCUCGUCUUCCAACAACCUGGCAUCAAGCAACACUCCUUGUAUUAAAAGCAGGCAGGUGUCUAAACAUUUUCAGAAUGGUCAUCAUGUUUCUCUCAAACUACGAGGUGGGAAACAGUCUGAAAGUUCAUCUCUCUGAUCUUGUUCUUCUUUACGGAGAGCCAUCCUGUGGUUUAGAAAUGUGGCUUUCAAACUGAUCUGUUGGAGUUACUGGAAAGACAGUUUUGUAGGCAAACAACAUGGACCGUGGCAUAAAAUCAUGGCUCUGCCUGGUACCUGGCUCAGCCGUUCUUGCUCCUGGAUCUACAGCUACCUGGUCUCAAGGAACUGAUAAAACUAAAUACUUCAAAGAAGGAUCAGGAUAUCUAAAGGCAGUCAGAGUAAGACCAUCAUAAAUGCUGUGCUAUCUAAAAAGAGCUUGCUUCACUUGGCGUCCAGUGCCAACACACACAUCUCUUGGAUGUGAUAACAUCUUUUUUUCUGUGUUGUGCAGAUCAUACAGUUAAAUUCUAGGCUGUUUUUCAGGUCUGUUUCAGAAGAACAUCUCUCCCUGCAACCUGAUUGUGUAAGCUGUUGGCAAUCCAUUAACCCCUGCAAGUCCAAGCAUCAGUGCACAGUGAGGGUAACGUUACCCCAUAGCCCCGGCCAGCCUAGCGAUUUCCG
Molecule: long non-coding RNA, 1279 nt
Filed under: Anser cygnoides (Swan goose)
Lineage: Eukaryota; Metazoa; Chordata; Aves; Anseriformes; Anatidae
Description: lncRNA (ENSACDG00005000674.1)
Source: RNAcentral